GACGAACGCUGGCGGCGUGCUUAACACAUGCAAGUCGAACGGAAAGGCCCUGCUUUUGUGGGGUGCUCGAGUGGCGAACGGGUGAGUAACACGCGAGGAACCUGCCCUUGACUUUGGGAUAACUUCAGGAAACUGGGGCUAAUACCGGAUAGGAGCUCCUUCUGCAUGGGGGGGGUUGGAAAGUUUCGGCGGUUGGGGAUGGACUCGCGGCUCAUCAGCGUGUUGGUGGGGUAGUGGCGUACCAAGGCUUUGACGGGUAGCCGGCCUGAGAGGGUGACCGGGCACAUUGGGACUGAGGUACGGCCCAGACUCCUACGGCGGGCAGCGGUGGAAAAUAUUGCACAAUGGGCGGAAGCCUGAUGCAGCGACUCCGCGUGCGGAAUGACGGCCUUCGGGUUGUAAACCGCUUUCGCCUGUGACGAAGCGUGAGUGACGGUAAUGAGUAAAGAAGCACCGGCUAACUACGUG
Molecule: ribosomal RNA, 468 nt
Filed under: uncultured bacterium
Lineage: Bacteria
Description: partial 16S ribosomal RNA
Rfam family: Bacterial small subunit ribosomal RNA
Source: RNAcentral